This is a non-coding RNA of Phascolarctos cinereus (koala), 999 nucleotides long. The record is from RefSeq and is a predicted model, not a curated record. Lineage: Eukaryota; Metazoa; Chordata; Mammalia; Diprotodontia; Phascolarctidae.
UUAUUUCAAAUGGAAGUCAUACAACUGGAUUGAUUUUGGCGUGUCCUCUUAAAGCAAAGGUGAUCCUCUAUCAGCUGCUGAACACCUCAAAGAGAAGGACGAUGAAUCUAUCAACAAGCACUUAUUAAGUGCCUUUUAGGAGGCAGGCACUGUGCUAAACGCUGGAGAUACAAAAACCGAGAUGGAAAAGUCUCUGUCCUCAAGAAGCCUACUUUUGUAGCAGGGAAAUAAACACAUGUAAGGAUAUAUUAAAUCCAGGGACAGCGACUGAACCUGUGUUUUCAAAUAAAUACAAGAACAGCUCAACUUGUUCAUUUCUAAAAUGCAGAUGCGUAUACAAAGGACUGGGAAACUGAGUCUGAGCAAUUAAAGAGUUGUAACAGUGGCCAUCCCAUGGAACAUGAAUGGAGAAGUGGUUUCACUUCUCACAGUGGAGAAAAGGCCCGUCCCCAAAUAUGUUUUAUGGAUAGGUGGGAUUGGAGAUUGAUAGAAGCUUCAGCCAGAUCUGGGGGUUCUGUUGGGAAAUGGAAGAUAUCCUUAAAAAAACAGCACCACCUACAAUAAUAACGUGCAACAUCUCUUCCUGGAAUGCAUUCUGUCAUUGUUCUCCUAGUGGAUGUCAGGAUCUUCCUGUUCAAGAAGCAGCUCCAGGCAUAUCAUUUACUAAGAGACAAAGUGAAGAAGAGGAAAGAAGGGGAAUAAAAAAAGGAGGCAAUGGAGAAGUGCAUUGUGGAUGUGACCAGAUGCAACAUACAAUAAAUAUGGGACUUCAAAGAAGAAUUGGAGUAAGCAAUGACAUCAGGGAAAUAUAUGAUUGAAAAAGAAGAUGAGCUGGUUAUAUGAUAAGGAUCAAAGAUAACAAGUGGACAUCAUAACUGCUUCACUGUUAUCUUUGUGAUGUCAUAGGAAAGCAAGUCUUCUGUACAUAGGAUGAAAAUUCCUCCCCUCCCCUGCAAAAAAAAUUAUGUAAAGAUAUUUUAUUUGUACUUGUUGUCUCCC